RNAcentral lists this long non-coding RNA (752 nucleotides) under Homo sapiens (human). RNAcentral describes it as "HSALNT0050880". The record is from RNAcentral. Lineage: Eukaryota; Metazoa; Chordata; Mammalia; Primates; Hominidae.
GACAGGAUGGGGGAGAGUGAAAAAGGGGGCUCAGGUUAUAGGCAUCCUUGAGCUGGUUUUUAAAAAUCUCUUUGGUUUUGGUAGAAACUAGUGUUAGGACAGGAGGAAUCACCAAGCACCAUCAAAGAGAUGAUGGGGAACAGUGGUUAAAGGAAGCACAGUCGACUCCUGCGGGCACCCACACCUAGUGAGAGACUGAGCCUUGUUCACUUUAAAGCAGAGGUUCAACCAUGCAGACAGGGAGGAGGACCAGGUGGGAAUCAAGUAGGAAAGAGGAGAGGCUAUUAAAAAAAUUCAUCUUAGGAAAACCACACACAGUUAAGAAACCAUACAACAUGGAACAUGUUACGUGUCACAAACAGAAAAGGCACAGAAAGGAGAGACGGUUGGAUGAGUUGGGAUGAGAGAGACACAUGAGGGCCAAACAGAACGGGAACAUCAAACCAAAGGCAGCAAAGCAAACCAAAGCCAACCCAGGGCUUUCUGAGGUGCAGAGCAGAGGCAGCCAGAAAGCACAUGGGAGCUGGCGGACAGAUGACAUUCGGGGGCGGGCUGCAUGCCACGGGGAGGCCGGGAGCCACAUGGCACACACAGACAGACACACGGCUACACUUGGAAGCCUGGACAAUGUGAACGGAGGUCGUUUGUACCCAGCGUUUCUUUCCUUCAUGCAUUUGGGAGGUAAACACUCGAGUAUAGACUCAAAGCCCUGGCCGGCCAGUUAUUGGAGCUUGCUUUGGGGUCUCUUAUUU